AUGACAUUUUCCAGUAAGAGAGAUGACGAAGGCAAGGUUUUAACAAUUCCGUUUGGGUAUUGUGAUGGCAACCCAAACAAGAAGCAAUCUGGUUGUAUAGAGAGAACAAGACGAAACAAUCUAGCUAGGAAUUCCUCGGGUUCACCUAUCAGCAAUGAUAUCCAUACUGGAGAGAUGUCUUCAUCCAGGUUUUAUUGGGAAUUGUCAAUCAAGGGGACAGGAAGAUGACUAUGGGACAAGAUGGAGGAGGGACUUCAUGGAAAGCCAACAGGAAGGAUGGAUAACUGUUCACAGCACGGAGUGAACAAAGACUCAGAAAAGCUGCUGGGAGCUAUCAUCUGAAGCCCAUCCCUGAGAGAUGCAAACAGGAAAGACUCACAUUCCUUCAGCUGAGGAUCUGCAGACAGGGCCUAGACCUUCAACAGCUCAUGUCAGUCUCCCAAGACCCCUUCGAGUGGCUAUCAUUAUGACCCUUAUUUUACUGAAGAGGAAACUAAGAGUUUGGAAUUUAAAUGACGUUUUCAGGGUCACAAACUAGCAAAUAGCAGAGCUGGAAUGGAUUACUGCACCCUUUUCCUAUUGGCCUCAAGCAUAAAGAAUGGUUGAU
This 607-nucleotide long non-coding RNA is filed under the name Mus spicilegus (steppe mouse). RNAcentral describes it as "lncRNA (ENSMSIG00000026960.1)". The record is from RNAcentral. Lineage: Eukaryota; Metazoa; Chordata; Mammalia; Rodentia; Muridae.